UACAGAGGUCUCAAGCGUUGUUCGGAUUCAUUGGGCGUAAAGGGUGCGUAGGCGGCGCGGUAAGUCGGGUGUGAAAUCUCGGAGCUUAACUCCGAAACUGCAUUCGAUACUGCCGUGCUUGAGGACUGGAGAGGAGACUGGAAUUUACGGUGUAGCGGUGAAAUGCGUAGAUAUCGUAAGGAAGACCAGUGGCGAAGGCGAGUCUCUGGACAGUUACUGACGCUGAGGCACGAAAGCGUGGGUAGCAAACAGG
Molecule: ribosomal RNA, 253 nt
Filed under: uncultured bacterium
Lineage: Bacteria
Description: partial 16S ribosomal RNA
Rfam family: Bacterial small subunit ribosomal RNA
Source: RNAcentral